Molecule: unclassified non-coding RNA, 728 nt
Filed under: Hevea brasiliensis (rubber tree)
Lineage: Eukaryota; Viridiplantae; Streptophyta; Magnoliopsida; Malpighiales; Euphorbiaceae
Source: RNAcentral
CUUGUUACUUCAUUUGAGGAUCACCUUUUAUGGCAUCCUGAUUGCAAUACUAACAACAUUUACAUAACUAGUGAUCAGGACCUAAUUAUUUCAUACUGCAAAGCUGAUUCUGAUGAUCCCUUAUCUGAAGGAAAUGCGGGAUCUAUUAAUAUCAGCAAUAUUCUGUCUGGUAAAUGCCUUGCUAAAAUAAAAGCAACCAGCGGCAAGGCCACUGAUGAUUGUAAUGCUAGUAGCAGUGUACCUGGUAAAAAAAGUUACAACUCAAAUAAGCGGGUCCAAGAUUCCAGAAUUAGGAGCACGGUGGCAGAAGCCCUAGAAGAUAUUACUGCCCUUUUCUAUGACGAAGAGCGCAAUGAGAUCUAUACUGGGAACAGGCUUGGACUGGUCCAUGUGUGGUCUAACUGACUAAUUAUCCUGCUCCCCUGAUGUCUAAGAUUGUUACUGAUGGAGGAAUGCCUCAGGUAACAUUGUAUCACUUAGUAUGGUGUUUUUAGUCUUGUACCCAAAGGAAUGAUUUGAGUUGUGUCAUCUCUAUUUACUUUAAACUGUACCGUUGGUUUGUAAUGUGGUUGCUUGGGUGAUUGCCCUGUUAGAUGAGGUAUUCUAGAUGAUUUCUAGUGUACUGCUAGUACUUUUGUAACUUAGGGCUGUCUACUGAGUUGUAGUCAGAGCUAGUUAACCAGUAAGUCUCAUUUAAUUCAGCCAUUCUAAUGCUUUAAAUGGUUGAG